AGGAUGAACGCUGGCGGUCUGCUUAACACAUGCAGGUCGAACGGAGUACCUCGGUACUUAGUGGCGGACGGGUGAGUAACGCGUGAGAAUCUGCCCUUAGGUCGGGGACAACCAUUGGAAACGAUGGCUAAUACCGGAUAAGCCGAGAGGUAAAAGAUUAAUUGCCUAGGGAAGAGCUCGCGUCUGAUUAGCUAGUUGGUGAGGUAAAGGCUCACCAAGGCAUCGAUCAGUAGCUGGUCUGAGAGGAUGAUCAGCCACACUGGGACUGAGACACGGCCCAGACUCCUACGGGAGGCAGCAGUGGGGAAUUUUCCGCAAUGGGCGAAAGCCUGACGGAGCAAGACCGCGUGAGGGAGGAAGGCUCUUGGGUUGUAAACUCCUUUUGAUCGGGAAGAGAUAGGACGGUACCGAUCGAAGACGCCCGGCUAACUCGUGCCAGCAGCCGC
RNAcentral lists this ribosomal RNA (446 nucleotides) under uncultured bacterium. Its description in RNAcentral is "SSU rRNA". It matches the Rfam family "Bacterial small subunit ribosomal RNA", at positions 26 to 518 of the family's 1533-position model. The record is from RNAcentral.